UAUAAAGUUAGAAGAAAUUUAUUGGUUUAUAGAAUAAGUGUACAGUGAUGGAUAUAUGAGAGAGUGUGGAUUAUUAAAAAUAAGUAUGGUGUGACAGUACCUUUUGUAUCAGGGUUUAUUAAAAUAUUGUUUUGUAAUAAAUUAUCCCGAAUUGAGGAGAGCUAUAUAAUAAUGGUGGUUAAUGUGGAAUUAUUAUCAGGAAUUAUUUAUAGGGGUGAAAUGCUAUUCGUUCUUUAGGAUAUCUGGUUUACUAGGAGAGAAAUUUAAUUUUGAUGUAUUUUUGGGUUUAUUUGGGGGUGGUUGUAAGAAUGUAGUGAUGCUAUCUGGGAUGAGCUAGGUAGGAGAAAUUAUAAUAAGAAUAUAAGGAUUAAAGGUUUAUAGGCUUUAUAAUGGUAUUUGUUGAAAAAUAUAAAAAUUUAUUGUUAGAUUAGAGAUUUAUUAUGAUUAUUUGGUGUGUUACUAGUAUAGAUUAGAUAAUAUAGUUGUGAUUGGAAUAAUGAUGAAAUUAGUAGAUUUAGAUUAUAAGAAGUGUGGUGGUAUUAUAAUAAUUUUAAAGGAAUUCGGCAAAUGUUUUAUCCGCCUGUUUAUCAAAAACAUGGCUUGAUGAAUAUAAUAUUAGGUCUGGCCUGCCCACUGAGAGUAUUGAAGGGCCGCAGUAUUUUGACUGUGCAAAGGUAGCAUAAUAAUUAGUCUUUUAAAUGGAGGCUGGAAUGAAAGGUUGGACGAGAUGAAAGCUGUCUCUAUUAUUAAGGUUGAAUUUUAUGUUUGAGUAAGAAAGCUUAAAUGUGAAUAAGGGACGAUAAGACCCUAUAGAACUUUAUAUGAGUUUAUUUGGGAAAAGUAAUGAGUAUUUGACUGGGGAGGUUAGGAAAGAAUUUAAACUUUUCUUUUAUAUACAUGAAUAGGUGGAUAGUUAUGAUCCUAUACUAGGGAUUUGAGAAUAAGUUACCUUAGGGAUAACAGCUUAAUUUCUUUUGAGAGUUCAAAUCGACAAGGGAGAUUGAGACCUCGAUGUUGGAUUAAGAUUACUAUUGGGUGCAGGAGUUUAAGUAAGUAAGUCUGUUCGACUUUUAAAAUCUUACAUGAUCUGAGUUCAGACCGGUGUGAGCCAGGUUGGUUUCUAUCUUUAUAAAAAUGUCAUGGGUUAGUACGAGAGGACCACGUGUGAGGAAUAAUUUUUAUUGUUGGAAUGAUAUUAACUACUUUGGCAGAUU
Molecule: ribosomal RNA, 1214 nt
Filed under: Gryllotalpa henana
Lineage: Eukaryota; Metazoa; Arthropoda; Insecta; Orthoptera; Gryllotalpidae
Description: 16S ribosomal RNA
Rfam family: Bacterial large subunit ribosomal RNA (bases 792-1128)
Source: RNAcentral